RNAcentral lists this transfer RNA (65 nucleotides) under Geukensia demissa (ribbed mussel). RNAcentral's name for it is "tRNA-Val". Lineage: Eukaryota; Metazoa; Mollusca; Bivalvia; Mytilida; Mytilidae. The record is from RNAcentral.
AACGUGAUAGUAUAAGUUAUUACUUCUUGUUUACACCAAGAUAAUCUCUAAAUAGAGUUAUGUUU